RNAcentral lists this ribosomal RNA (547 nucleotides) under uncultured bacterium. Its description in RNAcentral is "bacterial SSU rRNA". It matches the Rfam family "Bacterial small subunit ribosomal RNA", at positions 777 to 1320 of the family's 1533-position model. The record is from RNAcentral.
AAUAGAUACCCGGGUAGUCCACCCCGUAAACGUUGGGAACUAGUUGUGGGGUCCUUUCCACGGAUUCCGUGACGCAGCUAACGCAUUAAGUUCCCCGCCUGGGGAGUACGGCCGCAAGGCUAAAACUCAAAGGAAUUGACGGGGACCCGCACAAGCGGCGGAGCAUGCGGAUUAAUUCGAUGCAACGCGAAGAACCUUACCAAGGCUUGACAGUACACCGAGAACACCCUAGAAAUAGGGGACUCUUUGGACACUGGUGAACAGGUGGUGCAUGGUUGUCGUCAGCUCGUGUCGUGAGAUGUUGGGUUAAGUCCCGCAACGAGCGCAACCCUCGUUCUAUGUUGCCAGCACGUAAUGGUGGGAACUCAUGGGAUACUGCCGGGGUCAACUCGGAGGAAGGUGGGGAUGACGUCAAAUCAUCAUGCCCCUUAUGUCUUGGGCUUCACGCAUGCUACAAUGGCCGGUACAAAGGGCUGCAAUACCGUGAGGUGGAGCGAAUCCCAAAAAGCCGGUCCCAGUUCGGAUUGAGGUCUGCAACUCGACCUCA